GAGCGAGCCCACGGUCUGCCGACGCGGGGCCAGCAGCGGGCCCCAGGAUCCGGAGCUUCGGGCGGGGCCGAGUCCAGCGCCUACCAUGUGUCUGGCAAGGGAGGUGUAACAGAAAAACUAGGUGUGGUCCAGGCCCUCCAGGGGCUCAGGGGCUUGUGGAAGAAGUGGACAUUGAAGUACUUACCACACAAAUGAGCAUGAAAGUACAAUAGCGAUAUCUGCCACGAAGCUGUUGUUCCCCACCAGAACCAAAUGAGCGCAAGAUCUGACAAAGAAAAAAAAAGGUUCAUCUUUUAUUCCGCCAAACACUUUCAUUUAAAUCAAGAGGGUGGGAUGUGGUUAUUGCUGUGUUUUUAGACAGAAUCAACAGUUUCUGGGUCUGAGAUAUUGCAUACACCCUCUCAGUCCCUGUAUCCUGAGAUGGAGUCACCUGAGAAUCCACAGCAAGUCCUAACCAGGGAUGGGUCUGGGUGGUUAAGGAAGGUUGGCUUCAGAACUGGGCCAGGGGCACUGCUUUGCUUUUGCUGUUUUGAUCAGCUCUCUGCCCGCAGGAGACAAGGAAAACCAACGGGAACAGCUUGGGAAUCUGAGUUACAGAGCUUGUCUGCACUGAGUCAACAGGAGCAAAUGCUAGAUCAGAUAGGAUCUCUCUCUCUCUGCCACCCAGGCCAGAGCGCAGUUGAUGCAGGGCAGGGGAGCCCCGCAGUGGAGCAUAGUGUGUCCAGAACUGGUGGGUUCUUGGUCUCACUGACUUCAAGAAUGAAGCCACGGACCCUCGCG
This 780-nucleotide long non-coding RNA is filed under the name Pan troglodytes (chimpanzee). Its description in RNAcentral is "lincRNA". Lineage: Eukaryota; Metazoa; Chordata; Mammalia; Primates; Hominidae. The record is from RNAcentral.